GGCCUGAUGGUCUAGUAGUAUGAUUCCUUGUUAGGGUGUUCCUUCGAGGAGGUCCCGGGUUCAAUUCCCGGUCAGGCCC
Non-coding RNA from Stygiomarasmius scandens, 79 nucleotides. Lineage: Eukaryota; Fungi; Basidiomycota; Agaricomycetes; Agaricales; Campanellaceae. The record is from the annotation of a GenBank genome assembly.